AGUUAUAUUCAUGUCCAUUUGGAAAGCCGGAAGAAAUUGUCGAUGGGAAGUGUUCUUACAACAAAAACAAGUUACCUGCAGAUGAAACAGAUCUACUUGCACCGCCAAUACAUGCGUUUGUCAAAGUUGGAGAUGAAUGUUUUGACUGGACCCAGGAUGAUCUUGUGAAUACUUAUAAGUGUGAUCAUCCAAGUUUCCAUUGCUGUCGUGAAUCUAGAAGUAUAAGCGACAAAGGAAGAACAACAUGUGCUAAUGAAAUACCAAUUUUCAUACGAACAUGGAGGAUUAUAGGAUUCAAAUACUUACUUUGGGGAUUUGACAGUACAAGGUUUGCAGAUAUCUUUGUAGCUUUCCUAAGAAACUGUGGUACAAAUAGUGGACCUUUCCAACUGAACUUAAA
This is a long non-coding RNA of Mytilus californianus (California mussel), 400 nucleotides long. RefSeq lists it as uncharacterized. The record is from RefSeq and is a predicted model, not a curated record. Lineage: Eukaryota; Metazoa; Mollusca; Bivalvia; Mytilida; Mytilidae. The transcript is spliced from 3 exons.